Vidua macroura (Pin-tailed whydah) is the source of this 413-nucleotide long non-coding RNA. RefSeq lists it as uncharacterized. The record is from RefSeq and is a predicted model, not a curated record. The transcript is spliced from 3 exons. Lineage: Eukaryota; Metazoa; Chordata; Aves; Passeriformes; Viduidae.
CUUUGUUUAGCAACAAGCUGGCAUUUUAGCUAGAUAGGGAACCAUAAGAAGAGGAUCCUGAAGAGCUCGUUCUGCACAUCUGCCUUGAAGUGAAAGCAGCUGAGGUAGAUUUUUGUGUGAAGUGGCAAUUCUCUUCUCUUUGCAAUCACAUGGAGCUGCAUGACUUCAGUAGAUGUUGAACAGGGACAUAGUGAAUGGAUCAGAUUUAAGUCACAUAUUCCCAAACAUGGGAAGCCUGCCAGGCGUCUGUGCAGCAUCGAUUACUGUGCAACUCAUGGGCUGCAGCAAGUCAAGUGUGCAUGUGCAAGGGAGCAAGAAGACAUGAAAGCACAUGGCACUUCACCUCCACAGAGAUGGGGAUGUGACUGACAACAAAGCUGUACUCCUGACAUGAUUAUGAUGCAUUUUUUUAA